This is a non-coding RNA of Zopfia rhizophila CBS 207.26, 138 nucleotides long. Lineage: Eukaryota; Fungi; Ascomycota; Dothideomycetes; Zopfiaceae. The record is from the annotation of a GenBank genome assembly.
GAGGGUGUGGUUUAGUGGUUAUAAUAUUCGUAUGUGUCUCCCCAUCACUUCGACUCUCAACGGCUUACCGAUGUUAAAAGCGAAGUGUACAGUGGUGCUUAUAUCGGAAGACCCGAGGUUCGAUUCCCGGCGCCCUCC